AGCAUUUGCUUCGAGAUGAGCAAAAUCCACUUGUGGGUUCUGACAUACUAUCAUCAAUAAUCAAUUCGUGUUGAGUUCAAUAGGAGUUGGAUAACAUGGCGUCUCAAUCAGAUUCUCCACCCAACUCCGUAAACGAGAAUACCCAGAAUCCAGCUUCGCAACCAGCAGCUGAAAAUCAUCAAGGUCCCAAGCCUGAGGCUGCAAGUGGGAGCUCUCCAGCUUCUGUGUUUGUAAACUCGGAACCAAUUCGGGAGGACCAAGUCCAGAAUGCUAUGAAAUUUCUUUCACAUCCAAAAGUUAGGGGAUCUCCAGUCAUGUAUAGGCGUUCUUUUCUUGAGAGGAAGGGGCUUACAAAGGAGGAAAUUGACGAGGCCUUUCGUCGAGUUCCUGAUCCUACCCCAACUGUUACUAGCACACAGCCAGUUGCUGCUAAUGAAGAUGGGACACAGAAGCCUUCAUCGACUAGUACAUCACAGGCUGCUUUACAAAAUCUGCAGCCAGCGUCAGCUCCGAGCAAUAGCAUGAAAAAAAUGGGGUAUCUCUCUCAUUUCCAUUGGACUCAUGCAGUUAUUGCUGUAGGUCUACUCGCUGCUUCAGGAGCUGGAACAGCUGUACUUUUCAAGAAAUCUAUUAUUCCCCGGUUGAAGUCUUGGAUACGCAAGGUUGUAAUGGAUGAAGAAGAAGAUGAAAAAGGUAUUGUCAAGGGAAAACCAAGUUUAGCAGAAGAAGCUGCUGUUGCUGCAAAAGCUGCAGCAGCUGCUGCUGCUGAUGUUGCCCGAGCAAGCCAGGAGAUGUUGGCAUCAAAAUCCGAAGAGAAAAGGUAUUUUGAGGAGCUGACAAGCCUGCUAAACUACCAAGUACGUGAGAUGAAAUCAAUGACAAGUGCUAUAGAGAAACUGGAAGGGCAAAGUACUACUUCUGGAAGAAUACCUGUUUCGGAACUAGAUGAUCGAAGAAUUUCAGUUA
This 966-nucleotide unclassified non-coding RNA is filed under the name Hevea brasiliensis (rubber tree). Lineage: Eukaryota; Viridiplantae; Streptophyta; Magnoliopsida; Malpighiales; Euphorbiaceae. The record is from RNAcentral.